This 429-nucleotide ribosomal RNA is filed under the name Bacteroidota bacterium. Its description in RNAcentral is "Bacteroidetes bacterium partial 16S ribosomal RNA". It matches the Rfam family "Bacterial small subunit ribosomal RNA", at positions 355 to 776 of the family's 1533-position model. Lineage: Bacteria; Pseudomonadati; Bacteroidota. The record is from RNAcentral.
UAGGGAAUCUUCGGCAAUGGGGGGAACCCUGACCGAGCAACGCCGCGUGAGUGAAGAAGGUUUUCGGAUCGUAAAGCUCUGUUGUUAAGGAAGAACGAGUGUGAGAAUGGAAAGUUCAUGCUGUGACGGUACUUAACCAGAAAGGGACGGCUAACUACGUGCCAGCAGCCGCGGUAAUACGUAGGUCCCGAGCGUUGUCCGGAUUUAUUGGGCGUAAAGCGAGCGCAGGCGGUUAGAAAAGUCUGAAGUGAAAGGCAGUGGCUCAACCAUUGUAGGCUUUGGAAACUGUUUAACUUGAGUGCAGAAGGGGAGAGUGGAAUUCCAUGUGUAGCGGUGAAAUGCGUAGAUAUAUGGAGGAACACCAGUGGCGAAGGCGACUCUCUGAUCUGUAACUGACGCUGAGGCUCGAAAGCGUGGGUAGCAAACAGG